RNAcentral lists this ribosomal RNA (655 nucleotides) under Hyphomicrobiales bacterium. RNAcentral's name for it is "bacterial SSU rRNA". It matches the Rfam family "Bacterial small subunit ribosomal RNA", at positions 1 to 700 of the family's 1533-position model. The record is from RNAcentral. Lineage: Bacteria; Pseudomonadati; Pseudomonadota; Alphaproteobacteria; Hyphomicrobiales.
CAACUUGAGAGUUUGAUCCUGGCUCAGAACGAACGCUUGCGGCAGGCCUAACACAUGCAAGUCGAACGGGCGUAGCAAUACGUCAGUGGCAGACGGGUGAGUAACACGUGGGAACAUACCCCUCGGUUCGGAAUAACUCAGGGAAACUUGAGCUAAUACCGGAUACGGCCGGGAGGCGAAAGAUUUAUCGCCGAGGGAUUGGCCCGCGUCCGAUUAGCUAGUUGGUGAGGUAACGGCUCACCAAGGCGACGAUCGGUAGCUGGUCUGAGAGGAUGAUCAGCCACAUUGGGACUGAGACACGGCCCAAACUCCUACGGGAGGCAGCAGUGGGGAAUAUUGGACAAUGGGCGCAAGCCUGAUCCAGCCAUGCCGCGUGAGUGAUGACGGCCUUAGGGUUGUAAAGCUCUUUUACCUGGGAAGAUAAUGACGGUACCAGGAGAAUAAGCCCCGGCUAACUUCGUGCCAGCAGCCGCGGUAAUACGAAGGGGGCUAGCGUUGUUCGGAAUUACUGGGCGUAAAGCGCGUGUAGGCGGGUCUUUAAGUCAGGGGUGAAAUGCCAAGGCUCAACCUUGGAACUGCCUUUGAUACUGGCAAUCUCGAGUCCGGGAGAGGUGAGUGGAACUGCGAGUGUAGAGGUGAAAUUCGUAGAUAUUCG